UUUUUUUUUUUUUUGCUUUUUGGGUCCACGCCCCUGGCAUAUGGAAGCCCCCAGGUGCAGCCAUAAAAAGAAAAGGAAAAAAAUACGUAAAAUAACAAUAGCUCCAAGUGCCCUGUGCCAGGCUGUCUGCUAGGUAUUUCCUCAUCUCCUUUACCAACUCCCAUCAUUCUCCCAUUCUAUGGAAGAGGAAACUGAGGCACAGUGAGGGUGACGGACAAUGCUGGGCAACAGCAAUGCCAGGAUUCCAACCCAGAGCCCAACUGGACCCCGGUUACACCUGGCCCCCUCUCCUGCCAUCUCCACCCACCCCCGGCUGCCCCUUACCCCUUGCCCAGCCCCCAUGGGUGUCUCUUGGGGGGAGGCUCAGAAGUCCCAGUCAGCUCUGGAACCUGGUCCUGACUCCUAUCGCUUCCCACCUGGAGGGCAAUUCCAGUGCCGGACCCCUCGGUCUCCUCCCUGACAUGCUAUCAAGCCUCCCAGGGCAGAGCCGGUGACUCCCCCACCCUCUGAGAGAAGUGGGUACGGAGACUUUGGGGCCACUCUGGAGCUGUGGCACAGAGCUCCACAGACAGGCCCCUGGUUUCCAGGGGCCUGAAUUCCAUGCCCUGUGGAGCAGCAUCCCUGUACCGUGACCUGAGUGAUGGAGGGGAUGAAAGGGAGAAACCCCAGGUCAGUCCUGGCCUUACACGUGGUUUCCACUAGGAGGGACGGUCAGGCACCAUGACGGCCAUCUGCCUGGCCUCCUGGUACAGGAGUCCUAACACGGGGACACCUGACUCUGGGGGAUUUAUGGAGGGAGUGGGAGGCCCCAACUCCU
This 817-nucleotide long non-coding RNA is filed under the name Sus scrofa (pig). RNAcentral's name for it is "lncRNA (ENSSSCG00015054104.1)". The record is from RNAcentral. Lineage: Eukaryota; Metazoa; Chordata; Mammalia; Artiodactyla; Suidae.